RNAcentral lists this ribosomal RNA (246 nucleotides) under Bacillus sp. (in: firmicutes). Its description in RNAcentral is "Bacillus sp. (in: Bacteria) partial 16S ribosomal RNA". It matches the Rfam family "Bacterial small subunit ribosomal RNA", at positions 97 to 342 of the family's 1533-position model. The record is from RNAcentral. Lineage: Bacteria; Bacillati; Bacillota; Bacilli; Caryophanales; Bacillaceae.
GGCGGACGGGUGAGUAAACGUGGGCAACCUGCCUGUAAGACUGGGAAACUUCGGGAACCGAAGCUAAUACCGGAUAGGAUCUUCUUUUAUGGGAGAUGAUUGAAAGAUGGUUUCGGCUAUCACUUACAGAUGGGCCCGCGGUGCAUUAGCUAGUUGGUGAGGUAACGGCUCACCAAGGCAACGAUGCAUAGCCACCUGAGAGGGUGAUCGGCCACACUGGGACUGAGACACGGCCCAGACUCCUAC